AUGAGUGUAUUUCAGAACAUUGUAGCUCAGCAAAUGCCUGCAAUAGCUAGACUUCAAGGUGAAAUAGAGCAGUACUUGACUGAUGGUUUAGUGCCUUACAUUGAAAAGUUCAAUGUGCUGGAUUGGUGGAAGGUGGCUGGAACAAGGUAUCCAACCUUAAGGAAAGUAGCAAGAGACAUAUUUGCUAUUCCCGUAACAACAGUUGCUUCAGAGUCAGCCUUUAGUAUAAGUGGCAGAAAGCUCAAUGAUCAUAGAAGCUGA
Molecule: ribosomal RNA, 261 nt
Filed under: Triticum aestivum (bread wheat)
Lineage: Eukaryota; Viridiplantae; Streptophyta; Magnoliopsida; Poales; Poaceae
Description: partial small subunit ribosomal RNA
Source: RNAcentral